RNAcentral lists this ribosomal RNA (474 nucleotides) under uncultured bacterium. Its description in RNAcentral is "bacterial SSU rRNA". It matches the Rfam family "Bacterial small subunit ribosomal RNA", at positions 23 to 518 of the family's 1533-position model. The record is from RNAcentral.
CUCAGAACGAACGCUGGCGGCAUGGAUUAGGCAUGCAAGUCGAACGGGAGCAGCAAUGCUCCAGUGGCGCAAGGGUGAGGAACACGUGAACAACCUGCCUUCGAGUUGGGGAUAGCUUCUGGAAACGGGAGAUAAUACCGAAUAACAUCGCCGGAUCGCAUGAUCUGGUGAUCAAAGCAGCAAUGCGCUUGAAGAGGGGUUCGCGUCCCAUUAGCUAGUUGGUGAGGUAACGGCCCACCAAGGCGAUGAUGGGUAGCUGGUCUGAGAGGACGAUCAGCCACAUUGGGACUGAGAUACUGCCCAGACUCCUACGGGAGGCUGCAGUCGAGAAUUUUGGGCAAUGGACGAAAGUCUGAACCCCCAGCAAUGCCGCGUGCGGGAUGAAGGUCUUCGGAUCGUAAACCGCUGUCAAGAGGGACGAAAUUUGACGGUACCUCUGGAGGAAGCCACGGCUAACUACGUGCCAGCCGCUGC